GGGUUGUGAGGUUAAGCGACUAAGCGUACACGGUGGAUGCCCUGGCAGUCAGAGGCGAUGAAGGACGUGCUAAUCUGCGAUAAGCGUCGGUAAGGUGAUAUGAACCGUUAUAACCGGCGAUUUCCGAAUGGGGAAACCCAGUGUGAUUCGUCACACUAUCAUUACGUGAAUCCAUAGCGUAAUGAAGCGAACCGGGGGAACUGAAACAUCUAAGUACCCCGAGGAAAAGAAAUCAACCGAGAUUCCCCCAGUAGCGGCGAGCGAACGGGGAGCAGCCCAGAGUCUGAAUCAGCUUGUGUGUUAGUGGAACGGUCUGGAAAGUCCGACGGUACAGGGUGAUAGUCCCGUACACCAAAAUGCACAGGUUGUGAACUCGAAGAGUAGGGCGGGACACGUGGUAUCCUGUCUGAAUAUGGGGGGACCAUCCUCCAAGGCUAAAUACUCCUGACUGACCGAUAGUGAACCAGUACCGUGAGGGAAAGGCGAAAAGAACCCCGGCGAGGGGAGUGAAAAAGAACCUGAAACCGUGUACGUACAAGCAGUGGGAGCCUCUUUAUGGAAACCGUGUACGUACAAGCAGUGGGAGCCUACUUGUUAGGUGACUGCGUACCUUUUGUAUAAUGGGUCAGCGACUUAUAUUCUGUAGCAAGGUUAACCGAAUAGGGGAGCCGAAGGGAAACCGAGUCUUAACUGGGCGUUAAGUUGCAGGGUAUAGACCCGAAACCCGGUGAUCUAGCCAUGGGCAGGUUGAAGGUUGGGUAACACUAACUGGAGGACCGAACCGACUAAUGUUGAAAAAUUAGCGGAUGACUUGUGGCUGGGGGUGAAAGGCCAAUCAAACCGGGAGAUAGCUGGUUCUCCCCGAAAGCUAUUUAGGUAGCGCCUCGUGAAUUCAUCUUCGGGGGUAGAGCACUGUUUCGGCUAGGGGGUCAUCCCGACUUACCAACCCGAUGCAAACUGCGAAUACCGAAGAAUGUUAUCACGGGAGACACACGGCGGGUGCUAACGUCCGUCGUGAAGAGGGAAACAACCCAGACCGCCAGCUAAGGUCCCAAAGUCACAGUUAAGUGGGAAACGAUGUGGGAAGGCACAGACAGCCAGGAUGUUGGCUUAGAAGCAGCCAUCAUUUAAAGAAAGCGUAAUAGCUCACUGGUCGAGUCGGCCUGCGCGGAAGAUGUAACGGGGCUAAACUGUGCACCGAAGCUGCGGCAGCGACACUAUGUGUUGUUGGGUAGGGGAGCGUUCUGUAAGCCGUUGAAGGUGUGUCGUGAGGCAUGCUGGAGGUAUCAGAAGUGCGAAUGCUGACAUAAGUAACGAUAAUGCGGGUGAAAAACCCGCACGCCGGAAGACCAAGGGUUCCUGUCCAACGUUAAUCGGGGCAGGGUGAGUCGACCCCUAAGGCGAGGCCGAAAGGCGUAGUCGAUGGGAAACAGGUUAAUAUUCCUGUACUUGGUGUUACUGCGAAGGGGGGACGGAGAAGGCUAUGUUAGCCGGGCGACGGUUGUCCCGGUUUAAGCAUGUAGGCGGAGAUUCCAGGUAAAUCCGGAGUCUUGCUAACGCUGAGGUGUGAUGACGAGGCACUACGGUGCUGAAGUAACAAAUGCCCUGCUUCCAGGAAAAGCCUCUAAGCAUCAGGUAACACGAAAUCGUACCCCAAACCGACACAGGUGGUCAGGUAGAGAAUACCAAGGCGCUUGAGAGAACUCGGGUGAAGGAACUAGGCAAAAUGGUGCCGUAACUUCGGGAGAAGGCACGCUGAUAUGUAGGUGAAG
RNAcentral lists this ribosomal RNA (1772 nucleotides) under Citrobacter sp. wls617. Its description in RNAcentral is "partial 23S ribosomal RNA". It matches the Rfam family "Bacterial large subunit ribosomal RNA", at positions 1 to 1767 of the family's 2925-position model. Lineage: Bacteria; Pseudomonadati; Pseudomonadota; Gammaproteobacteria; Enterobacterales; Enterobacteriaceae. The record is from RNAcentral.